This is a long non-coding RNA of Gallus gallus (chicken), 1277 nucleotides long. The record is from Ensembl. Lineage: Eukaryota; Metazoa; Chordata; Aves; Galliformes; Phasianidae.
CUGUCAGACAAAAUGGAAGUAUCUUUGCUUAGAGAUCACCUCCUUUGGGUUGUCUUGUGAGCCCUGGUCCUUGGAAAGGGAUCUGAUUGCUAACUGAAGAACCUGAAAACAACAGAACAACCGGUGCUGUAGAUCUGUUAUGAGGAAAAUCCAAGUUCUGAUCCUGGAAGGCAGUGAAAUCCCGCUCCUUAUGUUAUGAAGGCAUCUUCUGCAUAGAGUCUACAUUGCUUGAUUUAUACACAGUCAUUUGGAGGACCUCCACACUUCUAUCUGUCAUCCCAGGAUGAGGUGUGAACAAUCCAUUUACCCAGUGGGAAAUUAAAGAAAACCUGAAGUAAGGAGAAUAAUCGGAUUGUUUCAGUUCCUGCCUCUAUCAGUUGCUAUUCUGUGCCUCCUCUCCCUGCAGUGCGACACAGAAGAGAUACUCCAGCCCUCUGAUCAGCAUCUCGACCCUUCUCUGGAUCUGGUCCAGCAGCUGCAUAUCCUUCUUGUGCUGGGGGCCCCAGACUGGGACGCAGUACUCCAGAUGGGGCCUCAUGGGGGCAGAGUAGAGGGGGACAAUCCCCCCUAUCUCCUUGCUUGCCACCCCUCUUAUGAAGCCCAGUACUGUUGGUCUCCUGGGCUGCUUUUCUUUUAAAUGGAAACACUGAAAUAUUUCCUGCAUUUUUUUUCCCCUUAGGUCUACUCCCUGUUGCCACAGAUCUAACUAAAAAAGCAUCAGACUGCAGUCUGAUGGAACUGAAAUAAGAUGCAUGGGAUUCUUUAGACUGUUAGCAGGUCACUGAGAAAUAGCAAAAAACAAUAAUCAACUGAAAAUAGGUGAAGUGCAUGAUUACUACAGCCCCACAGAUAACACUUUUCACCUUUAAAACUGCCUGUUAACAAGAGUUGAGUGCAAAACUGCAAACAUUCAUCUCUAAGUUACAUUUUUCUCCACCAUACUACCGUACUUCCUAAAAUGAUUGUUUUUUUUCUUUCUGGUUUGCCUCUGGAGAGGGGGAUACUUUUAAGGCUGAGGACUUAAAAGACCACUGAGGUAGUAAUCAUUGGUUCACACAGUUUCCCUUCCAGCAACUUGCUGUAAGCAAGAACAACAGAAACAAAUAAAUAUACAAGACAAAGAAAGAAACGGAGCCAGAGGAGCGAGCAUUCGUAUUGUCAUUUAGAUGAACUAUGCAGCUAUCUCUCUUGACACACCUAUUCCACAAACGUGUUUCUUCUCAACCUGGUAUUCAUUUUCUGUCCUUCUUCAUUACAUUAGUGAUUCUUUUUCCCCC